RNAcentral lists this transfer RNA (76 nucleotides) under Staphylococcus aureus. RNAcentral's name for it is "tRNA-Lys". It matches the Rfam family "tRNA". Rfam says of the family: Transfer RNA (tRNA) molecules are approximately 80 nucleotides in length. Their secondary structure includes four short double-helical elements and three loops (D, anti-codon, and T loops). The record is from RNAcentral. Lineage: Bacteria; Bacillati; Bacillota; Bacilli; Caryophanales; Staphylococcaceae.
GAGCCAUUAGCUCAGUUGGUAGAGCAUCUGACUUUUAAUCAGAGAGUCAGAGGUUCGAAUCCUCUAUGGCUCACCA